UGGCGGCGAGUGGCGGACGGGUGAGUAAUGCAUAGGAAUCUGCCCAGUAGCGGGGGACAACUUAGGGAAACUUAAGCUAAUACCGCAUACGCCCUACGGGGGAAAGGCCGGGAUCUUCGGACCGGUCGCUAUUGGAUGAGCCUGCGUUGGAUUAGCUAGUUGGUAGGGUAAAGGCCUACCAAGGCGACGAUCCAUAGCUGGUCUGAGAGGAUGAUCAGCCACACUGGAACUGAGACACGGUCCAGACUCC
Molecule: ribosomal RNA, 250 nt
Filed under: uncultured bacterium
Lineage: Bacteria
Description: partial 16S ribosomal RNA
Rfam family: Bacterial small subunit ribosomal RNA
Source: RNAcentral